GCGGGUGUAGCCGAACGGCAUAGGCGUUAGUCUUAGGAACUAAAAUUUGGAGGUUCGAAUCCUCUCACCCGCACCA
Molecule: transfer RNA, 76 nt
Filed under: Lachnospiraceae bacterium
Lineage: Bacteria; Bacillati; Bacillota; Clostridia; Lachnospirales; Lachnospiraceae
Description: tRNA-Leu
Rfam family: tRNA
About the family: Transfer RNA (tRNA) molecules are approximately 80 nucleotides in length. Their secondary structure includes four short double-helical elements and three loops (D, anti-codon, and T loops). Further hydrogen bonds mediate the characteristic L-shaped molecular structure. tRNAs have two regions of fundamental functional importance: the anti-codon, which is responsible for specific mRNA codon recognition, and the 3' end, to which the tRNAs corresponding amino acid is attached (by aminoacyl-tRNA synthetases). tRNAs cope with the degeneracy of the genetic code in two manners: having more than one tRNA (with a specific anti-codon) for a particular amino acid; and 'wobble' base-pairing, i.e. permitting non-standard base-pairing at the 3rd anti-codon position.
Source: RNAcentral